UUGCCAUUAUCAUAAGCGGAGGAAAAGAAACCAACCGGGAUUGCCUUAGUAACGGCGAGUGAAGCGGCAAAAGCUCAAAUUUGAAAUCUGGUACCUUUGGUGCCCGAGUUGUAAUUUGGAGAGGGCAACUUUGGGACCGUUCCUUGUCUAUGUUCCUUGGAACAGGACGUCAUAGAGGGUGAGAAUCCCGUGUGGCGAGGAGUGCGGUUCUAUGUAAAGUGCCUUCGAAGAGUCGAGUUGUUUGGGAAUGCAGCUCUAAGUGGGUGGUAAAUUCCAUCUAAAGCUAAAUAUUGGCGAGAGACCGAUAGCGAACAAGUACAGUGAUGGAAAGAUGAAAAGAACUUUGAAAAGAGAGUGAAAAAGUACGUGAAAUUGUUGAAAGGGAAGGGCAUUUGAUCAGACAUGGUGUUUUGCGCCCUCUGCUCCUUGUGGGUGGGGGAAUCUCGCAGUUCACUGGGCCAGCAUCAGUUUUGGUGGCAGGAUAAAUCCGUAGGAAUGUAACUUGCUUCGGGAAGUAUUAUAGCCUAUGGGAAUACUGCCAGCUGGGACUGAGGACUGCGACGUAAGUCAAGGAUGCUGGCAUAAUGGUUAUAUGCCGCCCGUCUUGAACCGGCA
RNAcentral lists this ribosomal RNA (615 nucleotides) under Saccharomyces cf. bayanus/pastorianus. Its description in RNAcentral is "LSU rRNA". It matches the Rfam family "Eukaryotic large subunit ribosomal RNA", at positions 34 to 664 of the family's 3401-position model. Lineage: Eukaryota; Fungi; Ascomycota; Saccharomycetes; Saccharomycetales; Saccharomycetaceae. The record is from RNAcentral.